GCGACUGGGAACACAACAUGGCGGCCGUGACGGGGAGCGCCAGGAGCGGGGCUCGGUGGGGCCCGGCCGCUCAUCCGCCAACCCCGGCACCUACGGGACGGCGCGGCAGGCACAGUAAGAGGAGAUGAAUACCCUGGCUCCCUUUCACUGGUAUGUGAAUUUAUGGCCAUGACUAUUUAUGAGCUGAUAAAAGGUAUGUAGCAUAUGCUUAAGAAACAUAAACUCUCCUUGUGUAGAUCACAAAGUGGAAUUAAUUAUUUUUCACUUGGUUGUUCACUGUGACAGAUUAUAGAACUCACAGGGAAUCUUGUGCUGUACUGCUUUACCCUGUAUUUCUUGCCAGUGGAAUAGACCCAAUUGUUUAAAGCAUGGGUAGAUGCAGUCCAUAGCCAUCUAUUCUACAGUCAAAUAACCUUGACUGCAAAACACAAAAUAAUUGCUUUAUGUUACAAAAAAUAAAAUUUAAACAGAUUCUUUGUUAGGUCA
RNAcentral lists this long non-coding RNA (486 nucleotides) under Serinus canaria (Common canary). RNAcentral describes it as "lncRNA (ENSSCAG00000006728.1)". Lineage: Eukaryota; Metazoa; Chordata; Aves; Passeriformes; Fringillidae. The record is from RNAcentral.